This 21-nucleotide small RNA is filed under the name Arabidopsis thaliana (thale cress). RNAcentral's name for it is "AGO1_0304". Lineage: Eukaryota; Viridiplantae; Streptophyta; Magnoliopsida; Brassicales; Brassicaceae. The record is from RNAcentral.
UGAAGAAAUUCAACCAAGCGC